Long non-coding RNA from Cyprinus carpio carpio, 1399 nucleotides. The record is from Ensembl. NCBI's taxonomy places the organism in Eukaryota, Metazoa, Chordata, Actinopteri, Cypriniformes, Cyprinidae.
GCUUAUAUUUUUUUUCAGGAUUUCAGGGGAAAAAAAUAAUUUAUGUGAAAUAUGAAAAAAAAACUGAUACAUUCUAAAAUAUUUUGAUCAAUAUUUUAAUCAAUUUAAAUGCAAGUGAAUCUUCAAACUAUCUGACAAUAUUUGAUUAAAAAUGACAUAUUUUAUAAUUUAAGAAUUAAGAUUUUAAUUUUGCAAGUGAAAAAAAAAUACUACUCUAAAUAUUAUUGUAAUAACAUUUAUUAAAAACAUGAUUAAACAUUAAAUGAAAUAAAAGUUUUUUUUUUUUUUUUUUUUUUGUUUGUUUGUUUGUUUGUUUACAACUGAUUAUGAUGUUGAGUGGGGGAGCGCUGGGGGUGUUUCACCUGAAGUCCAUAAUAAUCUCCUUGUUUUGAGAGUGUUCAGUUCCAGGUUGUUGUGACUCCACCAGACAGCCAGCUCUUUAACCUCCUGUCUGUAAGCAGUCUCUGUUGUGUAUGAGGCUGCUGAUGGUAGUGUCAUCUGCAAAUUUCAGAAGCUUGACAGUGGGGUCUUUUGCUGUGCAUUCGUUCAUAUACAGUAGGGGUGUUGCAAUAUACCGGUAUUGAUGAUAACCGUGACAUUCAAAUCAUAAAAUAGCGACAUUGUGUUAAUUUAGGGUGUGACAAUACCGGUAUUGGUGAUGACCAUGAUAUUUAAUAUGAACAGGACACUUAUAAAAAGACGACACACAAAUAGCCUACUCCAGCGCCAGUACCUGGUUGACCUCCCAGGUGGCAGUAUUGCGCCUUAACACUGACACCUGUCACACAAGAAGAGGCAGCGCGCAGCCGCACUACUCCGAGGAGAACCAUCCAUGCUGCGGGUCUGCAGAUGAAUAUAUCUCAGAAGAACCAUGUUCAAUAUUAUUCAGAGAGGAGCUUGAAAGAAGACCUGUGACCUGAAGAAGAAGAAGUGAAAAUGCAAGUGCCCUGUGUUUAUCAAUAUCACGAUAUAUAUCGACAUUGUGAAUUCUUUUGGACACAGUAACCGUGGUGUGGAAAAUCUAAUAUCGUGACAGCCCUAGUAUACAGGAAGAAGAGCAGUGGCUAUCAAGCUAUCAGCAGCCUGCUCCCCAUUUAACCUGGUGCUGAGUUACCAAGGGUUUCUACCUAAAUGUUCAUCCUUUUCAACCUUUGUAAUCAAUUUCUCAGAGCAGCAUUAUGUUCUUUCCAUUUGGGUCAUAAUAAAAAGCCAUUCUGAAAGAGCUAGAAGUGUUCAGAAAGUGCUCCAAAAAUAUUAAUAAAAGAGUGUGAGCGUCACAGAAAUAAAUACGUGACAAAAAGCUUGCCACAUAACCAUACUUCAGACUGAAUGACAAGUUUUUGAACGUUUCUCCAUCAGCAUGUCCCGGUUAUUGUUUGACAGUGAUUUAAAUGUUCCA